UGAAAAUCACUUCAAAGAGCUCUCAAUUUCGGAAAAACUCAAGUUCCAGUCUCUCCCCUCCUUUUCUCUCACAAAUUAUGCAAUGCAUAAACCUUGACCUCCUGUACUCGCUUCCAUGAAUAUGAACACUUCAUAUUACUAGGCAAAAGAAAUAAAGUUAAAAGCAAAACAAAAAGAACUAUUCUCCUCCCAAUUUGUAUGCUUAUAAUCAAAUCCUUGUCUUAAAUUGGGCCAGUGCAGCCAUGGUAUUCAAAGUUCUUGGCAGACUGAAUUUUAUCCAGCCAUGGAUGUUGCUUGAGAUCUUUCCCUUUAUCAGGAAGAUAGCAUGGAGUGACUUGGAGUUACGUGCAACGAUUCUACUCAGCCUUCUCUGUCAAGUAGUCCUCAUUCUGUUUGGCAACCGAAGAAAAUACAUAGCCGGAAAAUGGAUCAAAAUCUUGCUUUGGCUUGCUUACAUGUCUGCAGACUGGGCUGCUACUGUUUCACUUAGUGUCAUUUCCAGAAGCUACUCAGAUUGUACAAUGGAUAUAAGCUCUGUGAUGAUGGCAUUUUGGGCACCCUUUCUUCUUCUCCAUCUGGGUGGUCCAGACACAAUCACUGCAUUGUCUUUGGAAGACAAUGAACUGUGGCUAAGGCAUUCACUUGGUUUAGCUGUCCAGCUCUACUUGGCAUGUCAAAUCAUUCGCAGAUCCUGGAUCGGCACCCCACUUAAUGUUCUAGCAAUCCUAGUUCUCUUUGUAGGAGUAAUCAAGUAUGGGGAGAGAACUUGGAUUUUGUGGUCUGUAAGUAGUGAACAGUUCAGGGACUCCAUGCUUCGUGAUCCGGAUCCUGGUCCGAACUACGCCAAAUUUAUGGAUGAGCACAGCUCAAAACAGGCAGAGGGUUAUGAGGUUUCCGUCGAACCACUAAUUGAAGCUCCUGCAGAAGUGGAGUUUGUUCCAAAUGCGCCAAAGAACAGUAACAUUCCUAAUGCAACCAUAUUGAAUACUGCCCAUCAUUUCUUUGUCAAUUUCAAGCCUUUGUUUGCAGAUCUCAUUCUUAGUUACCUGGAUCGAAAAAAUAGUCAAUCCUUCUUCCAAGGCUGCACGUGGGAAGAAGCUUUCGAUGUGAUUGGAUAUGAACUCGGGUUUAUGUUUGAUACUCUCUAUACCAAGGCAAUUGUGAUUUAUACCUACACAGGCAGCUUUCUUCGUUUCUUCAAUUUAUCCUUCACCAGUUUUAUAUUUGUAGCAUUCUUGGUUGUUGAUAAGCAAUCUACUUCACCUGUUGACUUGAGUAUUAGUUACUUGUUAAUGGUUGGAGCUAUAGUCUUAGAAUUGUAUGCAACAAGCACUCUGCUUUUCUCUGAUUGGACAAUGCUUUGGUUGAGUAGACACAUGAAUUCGCUGGUUGAUCUCACUUACCAAGGCAUCUCUUGGUUUCAGUCAUGGCUUCAACGAUUUCAUUUGGUGCCUACGAAUGAGAAAUGGUCUAAUUCCUUGGCAGGAUACAAUUUAAUAAGUUUUUGCCUGAUUAAAAGGCCGGCUAAAUGCAGUAAAGUGUACAAGUUCUGCAUUGAUAUGUUGCAGAGCUAUCAACAUUCAAAUUUACAGGUCAUACAAAAUGAUCUAAAGAUGUUUAUAUUUAACCAUCUGUGGAGAAAAUCAAAGCAAGCAUCAGAUUUCAUUCAGGGUUGUAAGCAGGCAUCAGAUAUCAUGGAAUAUUGUAAGCGAUUAUGUGCUCAAAGGGGAGAUCAAGUACUUCAAGAAAGGAGAUGUUUUUAUGAAAUUGGGUGGAGUGUGGAGGUGGAAUUUGAUCAGAGCAUUCUUCUAUGGCA
This 1816-nucleotide unclassified non-coding RNA is filed under the name Hevea brasiliensis (rubber tree). Lineage: Eukaryota; Viridiplantae; Streptophyta; Magnoliopsida; Malpighiales; Euphorbiaceae. The record is from RNAcentral.